RNAcentral lists this ribosomal RNA (250 nucleotides) under Staphylococcus delphini. Its description in RNAcentral is "partial 16S ribosomal RNA". It matches the Rfam family "Bacterial small subunit ribosomal RNA", at positions 1001 to 1250 of the family's 1533-position model. The record is from RNAcentral. Lineage: Bacteria; Bacillati; Bacillota; Bacilli; Caryophanales; Staphylococcaceae.
UAGAGAUAGAGCUUUCCUCUUCGGAGGACAAAGUGACAGGUGGUGCAUGGUUGUCGUCAGCUCGUGUCGUGAGAUGUUGGGUUAAGUCCCGCAACGAGCGCAACCCUUGAACUUAGUUGCCAUCAUUCAGUUGGGCACUCUAAGUUGACUGCCGGUGACAAACCGGAGGAAGGUGGGGAUGACGUCAAAUCAUCAUGCCCCUUAUGAUUUGGGCUACACACGUGCUACAAUGGACAAUACAAAGGGCAGC